Molecule: long non-coding RNA, 544 nt
Filed under: Physcomitrium patens
Lineage: Eukaryota; Viridiplantae; Streptophyta; Bryopsida; Funariales; Funariaceae
Description: long non-coding RNA (PPAT_LNC014512)
Source: RNAcentral
UAACAAUGCUAAGCAAGCUUUAAUCAAAUUUAAAGAAAUCUCAAAGAAAUUACAAAGAAACAAUAAAAAAUCUUAAAGAAAUAUUAGAAUGAUAACAAAUAUAUCUCAAAUACAUCUCAAUUCAAUCUUAAUUUAAUCUUAGUUAAAAUUCUAUUAGACUUCAUUCAAAAUUUAAGCCAAAAAUUAACUAAAUCUUUAAUUUUAAACAAAUACUAAUAAAAUCUUAAAUGCCUAAAUCAAAUCCUAAUCAAAUCCUAAAUCAAAUCCUAAUCAAACUUUAAAUCCUAAACCAAAUCUUAAUCAAAUCCUAAUCAAAUCCUAAAUCUUAAACCAAAUCCUAAUCCUAAAUCAAAUCCUAACCAAAUCCUAAUUCUGAAUCAAAUCCUAAUCAAAUCUUAAAUCCUAAUCAAAUCUUAAACCCUAAAUCAAACCCUAAACCUUAAAUCAAAUUCUAAAUCUUUAACCAAAUCUUAACCAAAUCCUAAUCCUAAAUCAAAUCCUAACCAAACCCUAAAUCCUAAAUCAAAUCCUAACCAAACCUUAA